GUAGGGAAUAUUGGGCAAUGGAUGCAAGUCUGACCCAGCCAUCCCGCGUGCCGGAAGAAGGCCCUCAGGGUUGUAAACGGCUUUUGACGGUGAAGAAUCGACAGGAUGCGUCCUGUUUUGACGGUAGCCGUUGAAUAAGCACCGGCUAACUCCGUGCCAGCAGCCGCGGUAAUACGGAGGGUGCGAGCGUUGUCCGGAUUUAUUGGGUUUAAAGGGUGCGUAGGCUGGAAGGUCAGUCAGCGGUGAAAAGCUGUCGCUUAACGAUAGUCUUGCCGCAGAUACUUCCUUUCUUGGAUGAGGAGGAGGCCACUGGAACGGAUGGUGUAGCGGUGAAAUGCAUAGAUAUCAUCCAGAACACCGAUUGCGAAGGCAGGUGGCUGUACCUUAAUCGACGCUGAUGCACGAAAGCGUGGGGAGCAAACAGGAUUAGAAACCCCUGUAGUCC
Molecule: ribosomal RNA, 445 nt
Filed under: uncultured bacterium
Lineage: Bacteria
Description: partial 16S ribosomal RNA
Rfam family: Bacterial small subunit ribosomal RNA
Source: RNAcentral